GCUAGCCUUAAACCUAGAUAGCAAAAUACCACCUAUCCGCCAGAGAAUACAAGCAAAAUACUUAAAACUCAAAGGACUUGGCGGCAUUCCAUAUCAACCUAGAGGAGCCCGUCCAAUAAUCGAUAAUACACGCUCAACCCCACCACUUUUGGCCACUCCAGCCUAUAUACCGCCGUCGUCAGCUAACCUUGUGAAAGAAAAGUAGUAAGCACAAUAGUCCGCACUAAAACGUCAGGUCAAGGUGUAGCUAAUAAAGUGGGUGUGAUAGGCUACAUUUUCUAUUAUAGAAAACACGAAAAAUACAAUGAAACCUUGUAAUAGAAGGUGAAUUUAGAAGUAAACUAAGAAAUGACCCUUAUUUUAAUGCUGCCCUGGAAUGCGCACACACCGCCCGUCACCCUCCUCAAAAUAAUCAGAUGAGGCAAGUCGUAACAUGGUAAGCGUACUGGAAAGUGCGCUUGGAUU
Molecule: ribosomal RNA, 465 nt
Filed under: Pseudocordylus melanotus
Lineage: Eukaryota; Metazoa; Chordata; Lepidosauria; Squamata; Cordylidae
Description: partial 12S small subunit ribosomal RNA
Rfam family: Bacterial small subunit ribosomal RNA
Source: RNAcentral